GGGCUUGUGGUCUAGUGGUAUGAUUUUCGCUUCGCAUAGUGUCUUUGAUACUCAAUGAACAAGUGAAAGGUCCGGGGUUCGAUCCCCCGUAAGUCCA
Non-coding RNA from Mariannaea sp. PMI_226, 97 nucleotides. The record is from the annotation of a GenBank genome assembly. NCBI's taxonomy places the organism in Eukaryota, Fungi, Ascomycota, Sordariomycetes, Hypocreales, Nectriaceae.